This 1032-nucleotide ribosomal RNA is filed under the name Aspergillus proliferans. Its description in RNAcentral is "SSU rRNA". It matches the Rfam family "Eukaryotic small subunit ribosomal RNA", at positions 71 to 1112 of the family's 1831-position model. The record is from RNAcentral. Lineage: Eukaryota; Fungi; Ascomycota; Eurotiomycetes; Eurotiales; Aspergillaceae.
ACUUUAUACUGUGAAACUGCGAAUGGCUCAUUAAAUCAGUUAUCGUUUAUUUGAUAGUACCUUACUACAUGGAUACCUGUGGUAAUUCUAGAGCUAAUACAUGCUAAAAACCCCGACUUCGGAAGGGGUGUAUUUAUUAGAUAAAAAACCAAUGCCCUUCGGGGCUCCUUGGUGAUUCAUAAUAACUUAACGAAUCGCAUGGCCUUGCGCCGGCGAUGGUUCAUUCAAAUUUCUGCCCUAUCAACUUUCGAUGGUAGGAUAGUGGCCUACCAUGGUGGCAACGGGUAACGGGGAAUUAGGGUUCGAUUCCGGAGAGGGAGCCUGAGAAACGGCUACCACAUCCAAGGAAGGCAGCAGGCGCGCAAAUUACCCAAUCCCGACACGGGGAGGUAGUGACAAUAAAUACUGAUACGGGGCUCUUUCGGGUCUCGUAAUUGGAAUGAGUACAAUCUAAAUCCCUUAACGAGGAACAAUUGGAGGGCAAGUCUGGUGCCAGCAGCCGCGGUAAUUCCAGCUCCAAUAGCGUAUAUUAAAGUUGUUGCAGUUAAAAAGCUCGUAGUUGAACCUUGGGUCUGGCUGGCCGGUCCGCCUCACCGCGAGUACUGGUCCGGCUGGACCUUUCCUUCUGGGGAAUCCCAUGGCCUUCACUGGCUGUGGGGGGAACCAGGACUUUUACUGUGAAAAAAUUAGAGUGUUCAAAGCAGGCCUUUGCUCGAAUACAUUAGCAUGGAAUAAUAGAAUAGGACGUGCGGUUCUAUUUUGUUGGUUUCUAGGACCGCCGUAAUGAUUAAUAGGGAUAGUCGGGGGCGUCAGUAUUCAGCUGUCAGAGGUGAAAUUCUUGGAUUUGCUGAAGACUAACUACUGCGAAAGCAUUCGCCAAGGAUGUUUUCAUUAAUCAGGGAACGAAAGUUAGGGGAUCGAAGACGAUCAGAUACCGUCGUAGUCUUAACCAUAAACUAUGCCGACUAGGGAUCGGGCGGUGUUUCUAUGAUGACCCGCUCGGCACCUUACGAGAAAUCAAAGUUUUUGGGU